This is a non-coding RNA of Lolium perenne, 2389 nucleotides long. The record is from RefSeq and is a predicted model, not a curated record. Lineage: Eukaryota; Viridiplantae; Streptophyta; Magnoliopsida; Poales; Poaceae.
CCUCGCUUUAUCUCCUCUGGACCACGGCAUCUCUCCAACCACCCGCUCUCCUCUCUCACGUCUCCUUGUUUUCUUCUUCCUCUCCAAGGCAGAAUCGGAGGAGGAAACCCCCCUCAGUACACCUCCUCCUCGCCGUCAAUCCGCCGUUUCCGACCACCCCAAGUAGCGCCGCCACCUCCAAUCGAAGUGCAUCGCCGUCCUCUACGACAUGGCGGAAGGAAUUGACUCGGGGCGCCCUAUCCCGACCGCUUUUUCGCCGACUCCUCGCGUCGGCCUUCGUCUUCAACCUUCGAUUCCGGCGACCGCCCUCCUCCUCUUCCCUCGCCAUCGACAUGUUGAGCUCCAGGACCUCGUCGACGGCAGCACUCCGGCCUCCUCCUGGCGACGGCGCCGCCUCCCCCUGACCCGCGCCGUCGAGGCGAACCCGGCGCCCCCUUCUUCGCUUCCGGGGACGCCCCACAUCGCCCGCUCUCUUCAUCGCCGCCCGCGGUGACCACCUUCCUGGAACGCGCACGGCGUCACCGUGUCGAGCACCUUCUGUGCGUGCACGCUUGGUCGCCACGUCUUCAGCCACGUCGUCCGCCACAUCAACGUCCGGGCCCAGUCGUCAGCGUCCGCACCUAGUUCUUCCCCGUAGGUUUUCUGGAAAACCCCCUGGACCUCCUGCAAACCAAGCCGAGGCCCUCUGCUUGGUCAGCUGCCGUGUCAGUGCCCCUGGGCCCGCUCGUCAGCCCCUGUGGCUGGAACCUCUUCGCAUUUGCUUCUUCCCGGAUAGGAUCGCGAAGUGGUGUGGUGAGAUACGACAAGUUCUCCGGAUGUUCCUCGGCAAUCUCUAGCAGGCAAGCAUUUUCCCUUAUACUCCUGUCCCUGCAGGAGUCGCUCACCUAUUUUAUUUUGCCUUCUCCCUCAUGCUAUCCUUAAGUUGCGUUCUUGUCACGUGUCCCUUCCACUUGUUACCUCAACCAGCCUAUAUGGACUCCACCAACCUCGUACAACUAUUGUUUGGUUAUCGGGUCUGCCUUGCGAGUCGUAGUGCAUGCUAGUGCCGUUUUAUCUCGUUAUCGUUGCUGUUAUCUUAUCGGGAUAUGUUGGGUUGUUGGGAGGUUAUCACAUGCUAUAUCAAUUGUUGGAGAUACACAUGCUUUACUUAAUUGUUAACAACUUAAAUUUUAAGCAGAGGCAUCUGUGAGCCCCUUUGCGAAGGCAUCGGAACUUUGACUUGCUAAUGUCCCCUAGGACCCGAGUUCUUGUUAUCUGUUCCGAGAUUGAGCGCUCUACCCGUACGUGGGGGAGUGGGACCCCCAUCACCCACUACCUUUCCUCGAGUCUAUUUAUUGGGAGCCACAACCUUGGUUUUAUUUGCCUAUGCCAUGCUUUACUUACUGUUGCCUUCGGGUGUUUACUUCCUGUUGCCUUCGGGUGUUUAUAUUCUGUACCGUACCUUGCGGGACGUUUAGCGAAGCGUGUGGUUCGCACGCCUAGCCGCCGGCGCAAACCUCUGGGUCCGUAUCGGAGUACGGCCGGACUUCGUCACGGGUAGCCUAGUUGGGUGGCUCCCAUUUAAACUUUCUCUUGCAUUGGGAACGGUCUUGAUGUGAGACUCCACCUGUAGUAAGUGGGUUCGAGCAUGCGUAUGGUUACAUUUGGGCAACCCCUGCAGGGUGUACAUCUUAUCGAUAAGCCGUGUCCGCGGUUAUGGACGACUUGGAAUUGUAUAGCUUGAUCAUAGAACAACUUACACUUUUAUCUUGUUGCUAAUAAUCUGAUAAUAACUUGCGUAGUAAUAUAGCCUUACUACAACCGUUACCCAAUAAAACUUGUCCACCGUUGAGUGCCUUUUACAUUUCCUCUUCGCAAUUGUUGGAGGGGAUAUGUGUAAUCGGCUGGGUUAUGUUUGUGUAGUAUUUUAUCUGUUACCUUAUGCGCUCUCUCACCUUCUCUGAUUAGACGUAUGUUGUAGAGUGUCUCUAUAGGUUUUUAGUGCUUGCGCGCUGCCGCUUAACCCCACCAUAUUGCCUAUGACGUUCCUCUUGCGUCCUCUAAGUCCCCUGCGUGCCUCAAGUACAAAGGACGACUGGUUGACGAAUGCUUAUACGUCUUGAAGUCUUGUUAAGUACGAACCCGUACUUAUUGCUGCUUCUACGGGAUAUAACCUAGGGCGGUAUGAAGAUAUGUUCGAUGAAGACGACGUUAGCAAGGUUACCCUUCCAGCUUGGCACAGGCGGGGUUAUGGACGCCGCUGGUUAUCUUCAGGACUCUUAGUCCAAUUUGUAUCUUGUCCGUACUCGGAUGUAUUCGCUCUUCUGUAUGAUUUGGAUCUUUGUAUGUAUCUAUUUGUAUCUUGACUCGUUGGAGUCGUUGUUGUAAUAUAUGUAUCUUGUGGGCUCUA